UGUAGUUGCUCUUGUAAACACUCUUGUAAUAGACAAAUGCAAAACAGUUUCAAGCAGUUUAUUUCAGUAUGAAUCCACAAAGGACCAGAGGAUUGGAAACCUG
This is a long non-coding RNA of Poecilia latipinna (sailfin molly), 103 nucleotides long. RefSeq lists it as uncharacterized. The record is from RefSeq and is a predicted model, not a curated record. Lineage: Eukaryota; Metazoa; Chordata; Actinopteri; Cyprinodontiformes; Poeciliidae. The transcript has 3 exons.